Molecule: long non-coding RNA, 198 nt
Filed under: Ictidomys tridecemlineatus (thirteen-lined ground squirrel)
Lineage: Eukaryota; Metazoa; Chordata; Mammalia; Rodentia; Sciuridae
Description: lncRNA (ENSSTOG00000029564.1)
Source: RNAcentral
AUGACCCGGGCCGUUUGGCUUGCUCCCAUGGAGAAGAGCUGGGAUGCUCUGUGGCCCCUGGGAGGAGAGCGAGAAGGGGCAAGGAUGAGGUCAAGGACACCAGGACCUCUACCCAGAGAGGUGUUAAAUUUUAGGAUUGUAACUUACAUUUCCUUGACGAUGGGUAGUGAACAAAUUUGGCUAUCAAAAUACACAUAA